CGAGCAAGCCAAGAUGGUUGCCCCUUCGUUUAACUUAGGGGAGGAAAGUCCGAGCUCCGGAGGAUAAUGUAUCCUGUUAAUGCAGGACAUCAUUAGUGUCAAGUUUAAAGUUUUAAGUGUCAAUCUUGACACAUGACACUUGAAACCUGAUACGGGUGAUAGGAUCAGAGCUACAGUGACGAUGCUUUCGCUGGAAACAGUGAGAGAGUGAAACGAGCAAUCUCUACAUGGAGCAAGGCCGCAUAGGAAGAGAUGAGCUGUAUCCGGCUCGCUAUGAUCUUCGGGUUGGCCGCAAGAGUUUCGCGAGUGAUCGCGGAAGUGAGUGAAAUAACCGUCGAUCUUGCCCGAAAAAAUCAAGAUCCACAGAACUCGGCUUAUUGGCUUGCUCACUAA
RNAcentral lists this RNase P RNA (393 nucleotides) under Omnitrophica WOR_2 bacterium GWA2_47_8. RNAcentral describes it as "RNase P RNA component class A". It matches the Rfam family "Bacterial RNase P class A". Rfam says of the family: Ribonuclease P (RNase P) is a ubiquitous endoribonuclease, found in archaea, bacteria and eukarya as well as chloroplasts and mitochondria. Its best characterised activity is the generation of mature 5'-ends of tRNAs by cleaving the 5'-leader elements of precursor-tRNAs. The record is from RNAcentral. Lineage: Bacteria; Pseudomonadati; Candidatus Omnitrophota.